AGCAAGUUAUUGUUAGGGCAGGGAGGAGGACAGUACACUUGUUAUCAGGUAUCGUAUAUAUACAUGCUGUGCUCAUCUCCCUCAUUAAUUCCAGAUCAACACUACAGACUAAGAAGGUAAGAAGGAUAUUGUCAGACUAUUUUUACAGUACUUUUAGUCAUAUAUAUAUCGACACGCACACAUUCAUUAUCAUUAAUUAUUUUUUUAUUACUGUCAGUUUGAUAAAGACACAAAGAUGGUAUCCCGCACGUUGGUUCUGAUCAUGUUUUUAGGUGCCCUCUGUGUUGCCCAGGCACUGAGGUGCAACUACUGCCAGAAGAUUGACAAAGACCAUCCCACCUGUAAUGAGAUAGAGGAGAAAGAAUGCAGCAGUGGAUUUGACAAUUGCAUUACAAUCAAAAUGCAUCAUCCAGCCUAUGGUGAGGUGCGCAGAUGUGCCAAAACUAAUGAGUGUGAUGCUCAGGUGCCUCCUCAGGUGGAGAAAGUGUGCUGCAACACAGAUCUCUGCAACUGAUCUGCUUCAUCAGCCAAAUAUAUUUUACAAUGAUCUGUUUUUAUCUCAUGCUACAUAAAAUGUUCAAAACAUACAGCUAUCAUUGUUAUUAAUUGACUUUAAUUUAAUAUAUGUAAAUGCAAGUAGAGAAUAAUAUAAAGAAAUAAACUCUGGCCAGCAAAACAAAAAACAAUGAUGAUUCUUUGUGUUUUCUAAAACAUUUUAUCUUCUUGUACAU
RNAcentral lists this long non-coding RNA (731 nucleotides) under Sinocyclocheilus grahami. Its description in RNAcentral is "lncRNA (ENSSGRG00000018867.1)". The record is from RNAcentral. Lineage: Eukaryota; Metazoa; Chordata; Actinopteri; Cypriniformes; Cyprinidae.